Long non-coding RNA from Bufo bufo (common toad), 309 nucleotides. RefSeq lists it as uncharacterized. The record is from RefSeq and is a predicted model, not a curated record. The transcript is spliced from 3 exons. Lineage: Eukaryota; Metazoa; Chordata; Amphibia; Anura; Bufonidae.
UCCACAGCCUGACAGUAAACUGUACCAGCGUAUCGGACAUGCCCGGGAAGGAACAACAAGUUUCCUGCCAGCCGUGGAGUCAAGGGGAUCCGAUUAGACUCCAAGCCUGACAGUAAACUGUACCAGCGUGUCGGACAUGCCCAGGAAGGAACAACAAGUCUCCUGCCAGCCGUGGAGUCAAGGGGAUCCGAUUAGACUCCAAGCCUGACAGUAAACUGUACCAGCGUGUCGGACAUGCCCGGGAAGGAACAACAAGUUUCCUGCCAGCCGUGGAGUCAAGGGGAUCCGAUUAGACUCCAAGGUGUGUUC